GGAUGUGAGGGCGAUCUGGCUGCGACAUCUGUCACCCCAUUGAUCGCCAGGGUUGAUUCAGCUGAUCUGGCUGGCUAGGCGGGUGUCCCCUUCCUCCCUCACCGCUCCAUGUGCGUCCUCCUGAAGCUGCGCACUGGUCGAAGAGGACGGUCUUCCCCAAAUAGAGAUGGACCAGUCUUUGGUCAAGGGUAUAGGAGUAGCUGCGCUCCCCUGCUAGAACCUCCAAGCAAGCUCUCAUAUUAUCUUUGAGAUCAGUGUACUGUUGUUAUCUUCAAUUAGUAAACAAGAGUCCAAACUUCAUUU
Unclassified non-coding RNA from Erinaceus europaeus (western European hedgehog), 303 nucleotides. Its record names the gene 7SK. It matches the Rfam family "7SK RNA". From Rfam's summary of the family: 7SK was discovered as an abundant small nuclear RNA in the mid-70s but a possible function has only recently been suggested. Two independent studies have found that 7SK RNA binds the CDK9/cyclin T complex (known as elongation factor P-TEFb). The record is from Ensembl. Lineage: Eukaryota; Metazoa; Chordata; Mammalia; Eulipotyphla; Erinaceidae.